GAUGAACGCUGGCGGCGUGCCUAAUACAUGCAAGUCGAGCGAACAGACGAGGAGCUUGCUCCUCUGACGUUAGCGGCGGACGGGUGAGUAACACGUGGAUAACCUACCUAUAAGACUGGGAUAACUUCGGGAAACCGGUGCUAAUACCGGAUAACAUGUUGAACCGCAUGGUUCAACAGUGAAAGACGGUCUUGCUGUCACUUAUAGAUGGAUCCGCGCCGCAUUAGCUAGUUGGUAAGGUAACGGCUUACCAAGGCAACGAUGCGUAGCCGACCUGAGAGGGUGAUCGGCCACACUGGAACUGAGACACGGUCCAGACUCCUACGGGAGGCAGCAGUAGGGAAUCUUCCGCAAUGGGCGAAAUCCUGACGGAGCAACGCCGCGUGAGUGAAGAAGGUCUUCGGAUCGUAAAACUCUGUUAUUAGGGAAGAACAAAUGUGUAAGUAACUAUGCACGUCUUGACGGUACCUAAUCAGAAAGCCACGGCUAACUACGUG
RNAcentral lists this ribosomal RNA (497 nucleotides) under uncultured bacterium. RNAcentral describes it as "partial 16S ribosomal RNA". It matches the Rfam family "Bacterial small subunit ribosomal RNA", at positions 28 to 507 of the family's 1533-position model. The record is from RNAcentral.